Molecule: long non-coding RNA, 3364 nt
Filed under: Triticum aestivum (bread wheat)
Lineage: Eukaryota; Viridiplantae; Streptophyta; Magnoliopsida; Poales; Poaceae
Description: long non-coding RNA (TAES_LNC023417)
Source: RNAcentral
CCGCCGCCACCUGCCUGCCUUCUCUUUCCUCGGGAUCUCACCCGAUCCAAUCCACCAACCAGCGCUCCCCCAUGGCCCUCCUCGAUCCUCAUCACUCGCAGCCUCCAACACCCAUCGACCAAUCCAGCCGAGGGCCUCGUCCCCGAGCCGACCUCCAUGGAAGAGGUGCAGCGCUCCGCCCCUCUCUGCCUUGCGUCGGAGCACCUGCCGCAUCGAGCGCCCGCAGCUCCAUUCCCAUGUACGCCUCCGUUCAGCUGCUGCCGACGAGCAGAUGAGUCGCCGCCCGUCUCCUUUUCUCCCCCUGUUUUCCUCUCUUUCCUCCUCUAACCUCCCCCCCUCGUUUGAUUUCUUCUCUGCCAGGAAAUGAAAGGGGCUCGCCCUUGAUGUCGUGGCCGCCGGCGACCGAAGCCGCCGUGUGUCCUCUCCUUCCCGUCCCUGCCGUCCCCGUCGGGGUUGACCUCCAGCGCCGCCAAGCCAAGUCCCUCGUCUUGCCUCCCUUCAUUCCCAGCUACCCCAGCGACCCUGCGUCCCUGACAUAGCCCGCGCCAAGUCCUCGCAAGCCGCCGCCCGGAGCAGGCCGCCUCCUCACCUCGUCCGCAUCGCCGGGAUCGCGUCAAGUUCACCACCGUCGCCCAAGUCCCUCGCCUCGCCGCCCCUUCGCCCUGCUCGCUGCAACCUUGCGCGUCUGCAACUAUGCGGGGCAUCGCUCCCGAGCGCAUUGGCCACGCCCUUCCCCAGCGGCCUCGCUCAGCCUUUGCCUCGAUUCGGCCGAGCGCCGCUGCCUCCCCUGCCGACUUGAACCCCGCCGGAUCCGGUGACCCUUGCCGCCGCCGUCGCCAAGAACCUCGCCGGAGAACCAUGUCCCGCUUCUGGAACCGCUCAUCUCCGUCGCCUGCCGCCGCUCUGAACCUGCGCCUCCGCAGUCUCUACAUCCCGUGUGCGUGCGAGCCAAAGCCUGUGGCCGCGCGAGGGCCGCAUCGCAUUGACUGAGGCCCAGCAACGUUCUUCAUUCCCCAGGCCGACCCUUCUUCUUCAAUCGGGCCAAGGCCCAUGUUGAGGCAAACCCCCCAGUUAGUUUUUUUCCCUUCCUUUGGCCCAGCUAGUUUCGGCCCAUGUAUGUUUUUUUUCACUGCCUGGUUUUUUGCUAAUUAAUCAGAGACUGUACGUUUUGCAGAAAACCCCUCCAUGUUCAUGCAUUUAAUAACUUCUAAACCGUGCAUCGGAUUAAAAUACUUUACAUAUGAAAAAUGCUUAGAUUUUCAUCUAGUUCAAUAAUAUGCCACUUUCUUCUAUGUUAAAUAUGCGGAAAAUGCCGUUUGUGUAAUUUUUUCUCAUAUGCCAUGUUAAAAUGCUUUAUUUCAUAACUAAAUAACCGUAGCUCCGAACUUAACAAACUUUAUAUGUAAAUGGGGUGGAAAAAUGCCUAGUUUAACAUGGUGACCUUAUUUUGCAUGUUUAAUAACUCUAAAAUUGUGUUUAGGGCAGAACAGUCCCAAACCUAAAAUAUGCACAUGAGGAUUUUUCAGACUUGUUGCUUGUUGUUCCAGCCUCAUUUAAAAUUAUCUAGAUAGGUAGUUUUACUUUGCUUCACCCCUUGCCAUGCUAAAAAACAUUUAAUAUUGUUGAGUACAUAAACCAGAGAGAACUAAAUAAGUCAUGUGGUGUUCCGUCAAUAUGCAACUCAUUGCAUAUUGAGCUCCACUUAAUUUGUAGUUUUGCUUGUUGCACUUUGCCAUGCCAUGCAUAUUUAAACCGGACAUGCAUCAUACUUGGUUGUGCAUUAUGCCAUGUUAUGUGAUGGUUGUUUACUAUGUUGUUUGCUUCUUACCGGUGUUGCUUCUUCGGGUUGGUUCCGGUAACAUCGCGUUUGUGAGGAUUCCUUCGACUUCGUCCGUUUGUCUUCUUCAUGGACUCGUUCUCCUUCCUUGCGGGAUCUCAGGCAAGAUGACCUUACCCUUGAAAUCACUUCUAUCUUUGCUUGCUAGUUGCUCGAUGUAUAGCUAUGCCGCGAUACCUACCACUUGCUAUAUCAUGCCUCCCAUUGCCAUGUCAAGCCGCUAACCCUCCUUUCCUAGCAAACCGUUGUUUGGCUAUGUUACCGCUUUGCUCAGCCCCUCUUAUAGCGUUGUUAGUUACAGGUGAAGAUGUAGUUUGUUCCAUGUUGGAACAUGGAUAUGUUGGAAUAUCACAAUAUCUCUUAUAUUAAUUAAUGCAUCUAUAUACUUGAUAAAGGGUGCGACUCCUAUCGGGAUUGUCGGCACAUUGGGUGGCUUUGCUGGUCUUGUAUUACCAUUGUCGAAAUGUCUGGUAACCGGGAUUCCGAGUAUGAUCGGGUCGUCCUGGGAGAAGGAAUAUCCUUCGUUGACCGUGAGAGCUUGUGAUGGGCUAAGUUGGGACACCCCUGCAGGGUUUUCAAUUUUCGAAAGUCGUACCCGCGGUUAUGGGCAGAUGGGAAUUUGUUAAUGUCCGGUUGUAGAGAACUUGGCACUUAACUUAAUUAAAAUGCAUCGACCGCGUGUGUAGCCAUGAUGGUCUCUUUCCGGCGGAGUCCGGAAAGUGAACACGGUUCUUGUGUUAUGCUUGAACUUAAGUAGUUUCAGGAUCACUUCUUGAUCACUUUCUAGUUCAUGACCGUGCUUUGCUUCUCUUCUCGCUCUCAUUUGCGUAAGUUAGCCACCAUAUAUGCUAGUGCUUGCUGCAGCUCCAGCUCACUACCCCUUUCUUACCCAUAAGCUUAAAUAGUCUUGAUCUCACGGGUGUGAGAUUGCUGAGUCCUCGUGGCUCACAGAUACUUCCAAACAAUUGCAGGUGCCGAUGAUACCAGUGCAAAUGAUACAACCUAGCUCAAGUGGGAGCUCGAUGAAGAUCGUGUUCGUUGUGUUGUUUCGUUUCCAGUUGAUCAGAAGUGGAGCCCAGUCAGGGCGAUCGUGGAUCUAGCAUUAGGGGUGGUCUUCUUUUAUUGUGGUUCCGUAGUCGGACCUUGAUUGUAUUCUGGAUGAUGUAAUGCUAUAUUUAUGUAUUGUGUGAAGUGGCGAUUGUAGGCCAACUCUUUAUUCCUUCUUAUUCAGUACAAAGGAUGUGUAAGGAUUACCCCUCUUGUGACAUGCCAACUAUGCGGUUAUGCCUCUAAGUCAUGCUCCGAUACGUGGGAGAUAUAGCCGCAUCGUGGGUGUUACAAGUUGGUAAUCAGAGCCUUCCCCGACUUAGGAGCCCCCUGCUUGAUCGAAUCGCUGGCGUUGUUGUGUUCGGAAAAAUGUUUUGAGUCUUAGGAUUAUAUAUGUCGGAGAGUAGGAUUCUUUUUACUCCUCAGUCCCUUCGUCGCACUGGUGAGGCCUCCUGACGUAGAGUUUUGACUCUACUCUCC